Molecule: ribosomal RNA, 250 nt
Filed under: uncultured bacterium
Lineage: Bacteria
Description: partial 16S ribosomal RNA
Rfam family: Bacterial small subunit ribosomal RNA
Source: RNAcentral
GCAAGUCGAACGGUAACAGGUCCUUCGGGAUGCUGACGAGUGGCGCACGGGUGAGUAACAAGUGAAUCAUCUACCCUUAGGUUGGGACAACCACUGGAAACGGUGGCUAAUACCAGAUGUGUUUCUUCGGAAAGAAAGGUGGCCUCUUCUUGAAAGCCAUCGCCUUUGGAUGAGUUCGCUUCCCAUUAGCUAGUUGGUAGGGUAAUGGCCUACCAAGGCUACGAUGGGUAGCUGGUCUGAGAGGAUGAGC